RNAcentral lists this long non-coding RNA (213 nucleotides) under Elaeis guineensis (African oil palm). Its description in RNAcentral is "long non-coding RNA (EGUI_LNC057437)". The record is from RNAcentral. Lineage: Eukaryota; Viridiplantae; Streptophyta; Magnoliopsida; Arecales; Arecaceae.
AGAGUGGUGGGGCCACGUGGAGUUUGUUACAGAGAGUGGAGUGGUGUCUGUUGUCGCAACUUGCUGGAGAGUUCAGGUUGGACGGCUGAAGCUCGGUUGGGACAUCUAGUGGAGCGGAAUAGCUCUCUGUCUCAGCAAUCUAAGAGAAGCUCGGAUGUUUUCGAGAUUACUGACGGGUUAACUGUUGUUGGGUGCCUUAGGUGUUGAUGCUGC